Molecule: small nuclear RNA, 162 nt
Organism: Molossus molossus (Pallas's mastiff bat)
Lineage: Eukaryota; Metazoa; Chordata; Mammalia; Chiroptera; Molossidae
Product: U1 spliceosomal RNA
Exons: 1
Source: RefSeq, a predicted model, not a curated record
AUACUUACCUGGCAGGGAGAUACCAUGAUCAUGAAGGUAGUUUUCCCAGGGUGAGGCUUAUCCAUUGUACUCUGGAUGUGCUGACACCUGUGAUUUCCCAAAUGUGGGAAACUCCACUGCAUAAUUUGUGGUACUGGUGGACUGCGUUUGUGUUCUCCCCUG